This 892-nucleotide ribosomal RNA is filed under the name uncultured bacterium. Its description in RNAcentral is "bacterial SSU rRNA". It matches the Rfam family "Bacterial small subunit ribosomal RNA", at positions 505 to 1397 of the family's 1533-position model. The record is from RNAcentral.
GUGCCAGCCGCCGCGGUAAUACGUAGGUGGCAAGCGUUGUCCGGAUUUAUUGGGCGUAAAGCGAGCGCAGGCGGUUUCUUAAGUCUGAUGUGAAAGCCUUCGGCUCAACCGAAGAAGUGCAUCGGAAACUGGGAAACUUGAGUGCAGAAGAGGACAGUGGAACUCCAUGUGUAGCGGUGAAAUGCGUAGAUAUAUGGAAGAACACCAGUGGCGAAGGCGGCUGUCUGGUCUGUAACUGACGCUGAGGCUCGAAAGCAUGGGUAGCAAACAGGAUUAGAUACCCUGGUAGUCCAUGCCGUAAACGAUGAGUGCUAGGUGUUGGAGGGUUUCCGCCCUUCAGUGCCGCAGCUAACGCAUUAAGCACUCCGCCUGGGGAGUACGACCGCAAGGUUGAAACUCAAAGGAAUUGACGGGGGCCCGCACAAGCGGUGGAGCAUGUGGUUUAAUUCGAAGCAACGCGAAGAACCUUACCAGGUCUUGACAUCCUUUGACCACUCUAGAGAUAGAGCUUUCCCUUCGGGGACAAAGUGACAGGUGGUGCAUGGUUGUCGUCAGCUCGUGUCGUGAGAUGUUGGGUUAAGUCCCGCAACGAGCGCAACCCUUAUUACUAGUUGCCAGCAUUUAGUUGGGCACUCUAGUGAGACUGCCGGCGACAAACCGGAGGAAGGUGGGGACGACGUCAAAUCAUCAUGCCCCUUAUGACCUGGGCUACACACGUGCUACAAUGGAUGGUACAACGAGUUGCGAGACCGCGAGGUUUAGCUAAUCUCUUAAAACCAUUCUCAGUUCGGAUUGUAGGCUGCAACUCGCCUACAUGAAGCCGGAAUCGCUAGUAAUCGCGGAUCAGCAUGCCGCGGUGAAUACGUUCCCGGGCCUUGUACACACCGCCCGU